RNAcentral lists this long non-coding RNA (252 nucleotides) under Homo sapiens (human). RNAcentral describes it as "HSALNT0277300". The record is from RNAcentral. Lineage: Eukaryota; Metazoa; Chordata; Mammalia; Primates; Hominidae.
CAAAACUCUUUCUACUGCUCAAUCAUCUUCCUGGGAAAAAAUAUCAGAUGGCAGGAUCGAGAGGGAGCAGUGUUGCCUGGACAGUGUGGGAAGCAGGACAAUAAGACACUGCAGGCCUCAGAAGGAUCAAAGUAAAUCAGCCAUGCCUAGCAUAUACUGAAACCAUAUCUGCAAGUUCUGAAGAUCAUGGAACACACAGAAUGUUUGUUGAAUUCAUAUCAAGAUGAAUGAAAAUAAGCGUGGAAAAGAAAC